This 444-nucleotide ribosomal RNA is filed under the name uncultured bacterium. RNAcentral's name for it is "SSU rRNA". It matches the Rfam family "Bacterial small subunit ribosomal RNA", at positions 26 to 518 of the family's 1533-position model. The record is from RNAcentral.
AGAACGAACGCUGGCGGCAGGCCUAACACAUGCAAGUCGAACGCUCCGCAAGGGGAGUGGCAGACGGGUGAGUAACACGUGGGAACAUACCCUUCGGUUCGGAAUAACUCAGGGAAACUUGAGCUAAUACCGGAUACGUCCUGGCGGAGAAAGAUUUAUCGCCGAAGGAUUGGCCCGCGUCCGAUUAGCUAGUUGGUGAGGUAACGGCUCACCAAGGCGACGAUCGGUAGCUGGUCUGAGAGGAUGAUCAGCCACACUGGGACUGAGACACGGCCCAGACUCCUACGGGAGGCAGCAGUGGGGAAUAUUGGACAAUGGGCGCAAGCCUGAUCCAGCCAUGCCGCGUGAGUGAUGAAGGCCCUAGGGUUGUAAAGCUCUUUCGUCAGGGACGAUAAUGACGGUACCUGAAGAAGAAGCCCCGGCUAACUUCGUGCCAGCAGCCGC